RNAcentral lists this ribosomal RNA (459 nucleotides) under uncultured bacterium. RNAcentral's name for it is "partial 16S ribosomal RNA". It matches the Rfam family "Bacterial small subunit ribosomal RNA", at positions 338 to 795 of the family's 1533-position model. The record is from RNAcentral.
CCUACGGGGGGCAGCAGUGAGGAAUAUUGGUCAAUGGGCGAGAGCCUGAACCAGCCAAGUCGCGUGAGGGACGACGGCCCUACGGGUUGUAAACCUCUUUUGCCGGGGGACAAACGGCGGCACGUGUGCCGUCCUGAGGGUACCCGGAGAAAAAGCAUCGGCUAACUCCGUGCCAGCAGCCGCGGUAAUACGGAGGAUGCGAGCGUUAUCCGGAUUUAUUGGGUUUAAAGGGUGCGUAGGGGGGUUGCAAAGUCAGCGGUCAAAUACGGGGGCUCAACCUUCGUCCGCCGUGGAAACUGGGGUUCUUGAGUGCGCGAGAGGUACGCGGAAUGCGUGGUGUAGCGGUGAAAUGCAUAGAUAUCACGCAGAACCCCGAUUGCGAAGGCAGCGUACCGGCGCGCAACUGACGCUGAAGCACGAAAGCGUGGGUAUCGAACAGGAUUAGAUACCCGAGUAGUC